RNAcentral lists this non-coding RNA (27 nucleotides) under Mus musculus (house mouse). Lineage: Eukaryota; Metazoa; Chordata; Mammalia; Rodentia; Muridae. The record is from RNAcentral.
UGCACAUCUAUGCUUAUUGAAUGGCCA